GGAGAGGUGGCCGAGCGGUUGAAGGCGCACGCUUGGAAAGCGUGUGUAGGCAACCCCUACCGAGGGUUCGAAUCCCUCCCUCUCCG
This 86-nucleotide transfer RNA is filed under the name Nitrospina watsonii. Its description in RNAcentral is "tRNA-Ser". It matches the Rfam family "tRNA". From Rfam's summary of the family: Transfer RNA (tRNA) molecules are approximately 80 nucleotides in length. Their secondary structure includes four short double-helical elements and three loops (D, anti-codon, and T loops). Further hydrogen bonds mediate the characteristic L-shaped molecular structure. tRNAs have two regions of fundamental functional importance: the anti-codon, which is responsible for specific mRNA codon recognition, and the 3' end, to which the tRNAs corresponding amino acid is attached (by aminoacyl-tRNA synthetases). tRNAs cope with the degeneracy of the genetic code in two manners: having more than one tRNA (with a specific anti-codon) for a particular amino acid; and 'wobble' base-pairing, i.e. permitting non-standard base-pairing at the 3rd anti-codon position. The record is from RNAcentral. Lineage: Bacteria; Pseudomonadati; Nitrospinota; Nitrospinia; Nitrospinales; Nitrospinaceae.